This is a long non-coding RNA of Oncorhynchus mykiss (rainbow trout), 1797 nucleotides long. NCBI's taxonomy places the organism in Eukaryota, Metazoa, Chordata, Actinopteri, Salmoniformes, Salmonidae. The record is from Ensembl.
UGUAUGUAAUGACUUCUGACAGCAGUGGAGACACAGUGAAGAGCAUGUCUGUCUUUGCAUGAGUAUUUCUGCAUCUAUUCUUGAGAACCACAUUCCAAUUCUGGAAUCGUUAUUAUACACGAGUCGCCACGAGCAACCGCAUGUACAGGACGCUGAACUUACCGGAGAAAGACUCCUUCCAAACAAACGGCUCUGGCUCUUCUCUUUUCUUCACCCUCCUGUCCUCCCUGGCUGUCAUGUCUUUAUUGGCAUGUCCAUGUGGUGCCUUGUGGAAUUCACGCGUGUGCUGUAACAUGGGAAGGUCCUUAAGGCUUGUGUAAAUACUCACUUAUGUUGUGUGGAGGGUGUAAGGGAAGGGUGAAGAGGAGCAGCAUCUGUUAUAGCAGCUGUCCUCAGAGGUUGUGUCCCAAUUGGCACCCUAUUCUGUAUGUCGUGCACUAUUUCUGACCAGGGCCCAUAGUGCCCUGGUCUGAAAUAGUGUACUUCAUAGACAAGAGGGUGCCAUUUGGGAUACAUUCAGCCUCUCUCUACGGGGAGUUAGUCAACACAACCACAGCGUUUCUAAAGACACCGUUCUUCUAAAGACACCGGUCAUCGCUCAUCCAUAUAUUCAUAUGGAUAUAUUCUUACUUCAUCCCUUUACUUAGAGUUGUGUGUAUUAGGUAGCUGUUGUGGAAUUGUUAGAUUACUUGUUCGAUGUUACUGCACUGUCGGAACUAGAAGCACUUCGCUACUCUCGCAAUAACAUCUGCUAACCAUGUGUAUGUAACCAAUAAAAUUUGAUUUGAUUUGAUUCACCACCUUCAGAAUGACUGGUCAUUAUUCUGUGUGAUUAAAGGUCAGUAUUCACCAUUUUGUUUCACUGGUAGUUGAACCAUAGGUUCGGCUACUUGCCUAAUGUGAUGGAUGGCAUACUAGCUCUAUUGUCUUCUUUCAUUAUCUAUCGGCCUAAACAGUAUCUUCAUGUUUCCUAUGAUUUUAAUGUAAUAUAUAAAGUUUGAAUAAUGUCUGGGAAAUAAUUGACAAUAGCUAGAAUUGGGAGAUGAAAGAAAGAAAACACUCAUAGGAAGUUAUAGCAGUUCAGUUCAGAAGUUAUAUAUAUAUAUAUAUAUAUAUAUAUAUAUAUAUAUAUAUAGUAUUAAAAUGUAUUAUGCAUUUUCCCCUGCUCAUUCAUUGGUCACGUUUCAACUUUCACGUCACUGCCCCUGAACCAAGUAGAAAAUCCCAAAAACGAAUUUGACCAAUAGGGCACUUGUCAAGGGAUGCGGAGGAACCAGUGGGGGGAACGCGAAAGACACUCAACAGUCGUAACUAUUCUAUGGGGCGUAUCGUUUACAUCGCAUUCCUCAUUCCUUUACAUCAUUUUAAAGCUGAAGAAGGCACCGAAUGCAUGCUUCAUGAGCGGAUACACCAUAACACUUUACCCAGAACGGAGUUUGUAUUUCUGAAAGGUAAAACGACGAAAACGGCUCUUCUUGCUGCUUCAUUUGUGAGUGCGGCAAAGCAAUGGGACGCAGACGUUGAAGAGUUCUCGUGAAGCCGCGACUGUUGUGAAGAUAAGUGGAGAGUUAAUUUGUGCCUUUUAACUUUUAUUGUGAGUGUAUCAAGUGACAAUCUAACAAAUUGCAAGCGAUGUGCGGUUUUCACACCUUGGGCGUAUCACGGCAAAUAAUUUGCUGAACCUCGUUCAUUCUCCAGUGGAGCGGCCUGAAUGCGAGGGAAUGGAUUUGCUUGACUACUUUUUGACACAUAUUUAAUGUAGAUACCGCUACACAAAUCCAUAUGUUGAAGUCUUAU